Nicotiana tabacum (common tobacco) is the source of this 1440-nucleotide non-coding RNA. Lineage: Eukaryota; Viridiplantae; Streptophyta; Magnoliopsida; Solanales; Solanaceae. The record is from RefSeq and is a predicted model, not a curated record.
UGCAAUACCACUAGACUGUUCUCAUAAAUCUUCUCCCCCGUUGUAUCAAACCCUUCCACCAACUCUGAAUCCACUACACUCUUCUACAAAGCCCUUCAAUCACUCAGUCAGAUCGGACUUCGCUCCUCCUCUCAUUUCUCAAAAAUCAUGGCCAAGGUUAAGAUUGGAAUUAACGGAUUUGGAAGAAUUGGGCGAUUAGUGGCCAGGGUUGCUCUCCAAAGAGAUGAUGUUGAGCUUGUCGCAGUUAACGACCCUUUCAUCUCUGUUGAAUACAUGACAUAUAUGUUCAAGUAUGAUAGUGUACACGGCCAGUGGAAGCACCACGAGCUCAAGGUUAAGGAUGACAAGACCCUUCUCUUUGGUGAGAAGGCUGUUACUGUUUUUGGCUUUAGGAACCCAGAGGAGAUUCCAUGGGGCCAGACUGGAGCAGAUUACAUUGUGGAGUCGACUGGUGUCUUCACUGACAAGGACAAGGCUGCUGCUCACUUGAAGGGUGGUGCCAAGAAAGUCAUCAUUUCUGCCCCUAGCAAGGAUGCUCCGAUGUUUGUUGUCGGUGUCAAUGAGAAAGAAUACAAGCCCGAGCUCAACAUUGUUUCAAAUGCUAGCUGUACCACAAAUUGCCUUGCUCCCUUGGCCAAGGUUAUAAAUGACAGAUUUGGAAUUGUUGAGGGUCUCAUGACCACAGUCCACUCCAUCACAGCCACACAGAAAACUGUUGAUGGGCCAUCAGCCAAGGACUGGAGGGGUGGAAGAGCUGCAUCAUUCAAUAUUAUUCCCAGCAGUACUGGAGCUGCCAAGGCUGUUGGGAAAGUCCUACCAGCAUUGAAUGGAAAGUUAACCGGAAUGGCUUUCCGAGUCCCAACUGUUGAUGUGUCCGUGGUUGACCUCACAGUGAGGCUGGAGAAAGAAGCUACCUACGAUGAAAUCAAGGCUGCCAUUAAGGAGGAAUCUGAAGGAAAAUUGAAGGGAAUUCUAGGUUACACUGAAGAUGAUGUGGUGUCCACAGACUUCGUGGGAGACAAUAGAUCAAGCAUAUUUGAUGCCAAGGCUGGAAUUGCUUUGAGCAAGAAUUUUGUUAAGCUCGUUUCGUGGUAUGGGGUUACAGCACACGAGUGGUGGACUUGAUUAAGCACAUGGCAUCAGUUCAGUAAAAGUGGCAGUUUACUCAUUGGUGGCCAAGUGUAGUGGUGCUGCUGUGAGGAGUCUGUUAUUUGUUACUAGAUAAAGCAGUUUAGAAUAAAGUACUCACUCGGACUACAAGUGAGCGGCUCUUUGAUGUAAUUUAGGGAUAUCUGCACUCUUGGAUAUGGUUUGAGGUCAUCAAUUGGGUUGUUGUAGACUUCCCCACACAUUCCGAGACCCAGUCUUUGCAACUCUGGAUAUGUUUCUUGUUUUUGUUGUGUUAUGAAUGUGUAAUAAGUUUGGACCUUGCUUGGUGCU